CACGGGUCUCAUGGGUGACUGGGAAUGGGAGGGGAAGGAAGAAGCUCUUCUUUUGUGGAAUCUGAUCACAGGGAACCCUCUCCCGCCCGGGGCUCAGAAUCUGAUCACAGGGAACCCUUUCCCGCCUGGGGCUCAGAAUCUGAUCACAGGGAACGCUCUCCCGCCCGAGGCUCAGAAUCUGAUCACAGGGAACCCUCUCCCACCUGGAGCUCAAGAUGGUUUCCUGCAGACCUGGAAUUAAACGUCAGGCUCCUGCCUGAGUCGCCGGGACCCCCAGCCUGGCUGACCUCUUCUUGCUCUGCUGAGCUCUCUGCAUGCCCCCAAGGCCCUCUCCGCCUCUGGCUCAGCCCUUAGGAAGCCCUGGCAGAGAAGCCCAGGAUGGGAGAGGCAAAAUGGGGAGGAUGAGGUUUGCAUUACCUGUAAUCCUGGCCAGGCCACAGUACCUAAGUGCUCAAACAUGAGCCCAGGUGUAGCUGGGAAGGUGUCCUGCAGAGGAGCUCAAUAUCCACAAUCAGAUGAUCUGAAGGAGAUUAGCCUCGAUUUUUCUGGGAGGGACUCAUCCCUUCAAAGGAAGCCCUUAAGAGUGAAAACCGAGGUUUCACUGAGAACACCUGCCUCAAGACGGUGACGUGCCCUACUGCGUGUCUCCUGCCUGCCGCCUGCCCUGCAGGUUUUGAACCCCCAUGAUUGCGGGAUCCAAUGCCUUAAAAUAAAUCUCUAAACAUAUAUCCGUCUAGGUAAACCGCCUGUUGUCUAAACAUAUAUCCGUGUAUGUAAACCGCCUGUUGUCUAAACAUAUAUCCGUGUAUGUAAACCGCCUGUUGUCUAAACAUAUAUCCGUGUAUGUAAACCGCCUGUUGUCUAAACAUAUAUCCGUGUAUGUAAACCGCCUGUUGUCUAAACAUAUAUCCGUGUAUGUAAACCGCCUGUUGUCUAAACAUAUAUCCGUGUAUGUAAACCGCCUGUUGUUGUCUAAACGUAUAUCCGUGUAUGUAAACCGCCUGUUCUCUAAACAUAUAUAUGUG
This 1025-nucleotide long non-coding RNA is filed under the name Homo sapiens (human). RNAcentral describes it as "non-protein coding lnc-SIK1-2:1". Lineage: Eukaryota; Metazoa; Chordata; Mammalia; Primates; Hominidae. The record is from RNAcentral.